Molecule: ribosomal RNA, 492 nt
Filed under: uncultured bacterium
Lineage: Bacteria
Description: partial 16S ribosomal RNA
Rfam family: Bacterial small subunit ribosomal RNA
Source: RNAcentral
AGUGAACGCUGGCGGUAUGCCUAACACAUGCAAGUCGAACGGCAGCACAGUAAGAGCUUGCUCUUACGGGUGGCGAGUGGCGGACGGGUGAGGAGUACAUCGGAAUCUACUUUUUCGUGGGUGAUAACGUAGGGAAACUUACGCUAAUACCUCAUACUACCUACGAGUGAAAGCAGAGUAUCUUCGGACCUUUCGCGAUUGACUGAGCCGAUGUCGGAUUAGCUAGUUGGCGGGGUAAAGGCCCACCAAGGCGACGAUCCGUAGCUGGUCUGAGAGGAUGAUGAGCAACACUGGAACUGAGACACGGUCAAGACUCCUACGGGAGGCAGCAGUGGGGAAUAUUGGACAAGGGGCGAAAGCCUGAUCCAGAAAUACCGCGUGGGGGAAGAAGGCCUUCGGGUUGUAAAGCCCUUUUGUUGGGAAAGAAAAGCAGCAGGUUAAUACCCCGCUGUUCUGACGGUACCCAAAGAAUAAGCACCGGCUAACUUCGUG